Molecule: small nuclear RNA, 164 nt
Filed under: Tupaia belangeri chinensis (Chinese tree shrew)
Lineage: Eukaryota; Metazoa; Chordata; Mammalia; Scandentia; Tupaiidae
Description: Tupaia chinensis (Chinese tree shrew) U1 spliceosomal RNA
Rfam family: U1 spliceosomal RNA
About the family: U1 is a small nuclear RNA (snRNA) component of the spliceosome (involved in pre-mRNA splicing).
Source: Rfam by way of RNAcentral
AUACUUACCUGGCAGGGGAGAUACCACGAUCACGAAGGCGGUUUCCCCAGGACGAGGCUUAUCCACUGCACUCCGGGUGUGCUGACCCCUGCGAUUUCCCCAAAUGUGGGAAACUCAACUGCAUAAUUUGUGGUAGUGGGGGACUGUGUUCGUGCUCUCCCCUG